Molecule: ribosomal RNA, 324 nt
Filed under: uncultured Cercomonas
Lineage: Eukaryota; Cercozoa; Cercomonadida; Cercomonadidae
Description: SSU rRNA
Rfam family: Eukaryotic small subunit ribosomal RNA (bases 105-324)
Source: RNAcentral
GAUUUCUGGUUUUGCGAGUUUGGCCCCCAGCUACGGCUGGCGCGUGUCGUUAUUCGCUUACCAUCCUUCUGGGGAGGGUCUCACAUCACUUUAAUGUGUUUGGGUCACGUAACCAGAUCUUUUACUUUGAAAAAAUUAGAGUGUUUAAAGCAGGCUUGCGCUGUGAAUACAUUAGCAUGGAAUAAUAAUUUAGGACUUUUGCUCCUGUUUUGUUGGUUUAUUGGACGGAAGUAAUGAUUGAUAGGGAUAGUUGGGGGUGCUAGUAUUCAGCGGCCAGAGGUGAAAUUCUUGGAUUCGCUGAAGACUAACUUAUGCGAAAGCAUU